GAGUUUGAUCCUGGCUCAGGACGAACGCUGGCGGCGUGCCUAACACAUGCAAGUCGAACGGAGUUGAAAGGAGCUUGCUUUUUUCAACUCAGUGGCGGACGGGUGAGUAACGCGUGAGUAACCUGCCUUUCAGAGGGGGAUAACGUUCUGAAAAGAACGCUAAUACCGCAUAAGAUUGUAGUUUCGCAUGGAGCAGCAAUCAAAGGAGCAAUCCGCUGAAAGAUGGACUCGCGUCCGAUUAGAUAGUUGGCGGGGUAACGGCCCACCAAGUCGACGAUCGGUAGCCGGACUGAGAGGUUGAUCGGCCACAUUGGGACUGAGACACGGCCCAGACUCCUACGGGAGGCAGCAGUGAGGGAUAUUGGGCAAUGGGGGAAACCCUGACCCAGCAACGCCGCGUGAGGGAUGACGGUUUUCGGAUUGUAAACCUCUGUCCUCUGUGAAGAUAGUGACGGUAGCAGAGGAGGAAGCUCCGGCUAACUACGUGCCAGCAGCCGCGGUAAUACGUAGGGAGCAAGCGUUGUCCGGAUUUACUGGGUGUAAAGGGUGCGUAGGCGGAUUGGCAAGUCAGAAGUGAAAUCCAUGGGCUUAACCCAUGAACUGCUUUUGAAACUGUUAGUCUUGAGUGAAGUAGAGGUAGGCGGAAUUCCCGGUGUAGCGGUGAAAUGCGUAGAGAUCGGGAGGAACACCAGUGGCGAAGGCGGCCUACUGGGCUUUAACUGACGCUGAGGCACGAAAGUGUGGGUAGCAAACAGGAUUAGAUACCCUGGUAGUCCACACUGUAAACGAUGAUUACUAGGUGUGGGGGGUCUAACCCCCUCCGUGCCGGAGUUAACACAAUAAGUAAUCCACCUGGGGAGUACGACCGCAAGGUUGAAACUCAAAGGAAUUGACGGGGGCCCGCACAAGCAGUGGAGUAUGUGGUUUAAUUCGAAGCAACGCGAAGAACCUUACCAAGUCUUGACAUCCUUCUGACCGGUACUUAACCGUACCUUCUCUUCGGAGCAGGAGUGACAGGUGGUGCAUGGUUGUCGUCAGCUCGUGUCGUGAGAUGUUGGGUUAAGUCCCGCAACGAGCGCAACCCUUAUCCUUAGUAGCCAGCGGUCCGGCCGGGCACUCUAGAGAGACUGCCAGGGAUAACCUGGAGGAAGGCGGGGAUGACGUCAAAUCAUCAUGCCCCUUAUGACUUGGGCUACACACGUGCUACAAUGGCGUAAACAAAGGGAAGCAAAGCUGUGAAGCCGAGCAAAUCUCAAAAAUAACGUCUCAGUUCGGACUGUAGUCUGCAACCCGACUACACGAAGCUGGAAUCGCUAGUAAUCGCAGAUCAGAAUGCUGCGGUGAAUACGUUCCCGGGUCUUGCACACACCGCCCGUCA
RNAcentral lists this ribosomal RNA (1378 nucleotides) under uncultured bacterium. RNAcentral's name for it is "bacterial SSU rRNA". It matches the Rfam family "Bacterial small subunit ribosomal RNA". The record is from RNAcentral.